This 381-nucleotide ribosomal RNA is filed under the name Amanita manginiana. RNAcentral's name for it is "eukaryotic LSU rRNA". It matches the Rfam family "Eukaryotic large subunit ribosomal RNA", at positions 92 to 466 of the family's 3401-position model. Lineage: Eukaryota; Fungi; Basidiomycota; Agaricomycetes; Agaricales; Amanitaceae. The record is from RNAcentral.
AGUGAAGAGGGAAAAGCUCAAAUUUAAAAUCUGACAGUGUUUGGCUGUCCGAAUUGUAGCCUAGAGAAGUGUUACCUGCGCUGGACUGUGUAUAAGUCUCCUGGGAUGGAGCGUCAGAGAGGGUGAGAAUCCCGUGCUUGACACAGACUACCAGUGCAUUAUGGUAUGCUCUCAAAGAGUUGAGUUGUUUGGGAAUGCAGCUCUAAAUGGGUGGUAAAUUCCAUCUAAAGCUAAAUAUUGGCGAGAGACCGAUAGCGAACAAGUACCGUGAGGGAAAGAUGAAAAGAACUUUGGAAAGAGAGUUAAACAGUAUGUGAAAUUGUUGAAAGGGAAACGUUUGAAGUCAGUUGCAUUGAUGAGGGAUCAAGCUAGCAUUUUUUG